Molecule: long non-coding RNA, 4919 nt
Filed under: Nicotiana tabacum (common tobacco)
Lineage: Eukaryota; Viridiplantae; Streptophyta; Magnoliopsida; Solanales; Solanaceae
Description: long non-coding RNA (NTAB_LNC016781)
Source: RNAcentral
GGGUUCCGAGGUGCGAGCCCGGGGUUGACUUUUUUAUUCUUGUUCAAUAUUGAAGCUUUAUUAUCCGAAAUUGUUUCCUAUUAUAUUUAUGAUAUUAAGUUAUUUUGACUAAAUUUGAUCAGUAUGGAGGUUGUUACACACGGGAGGGCCUUUUUAGAGUACUGAUUUAGCUUCUUUGAGGUAAGUAUCUUGUCUAACCCUGUGUGACCCCUUAGGAUUUGGAUUGAUUGUAUUGUUGGAAUUAUGUGAAAGGUGUGUACAUGAGAUGACGAGAGUGUAAUCAGCUCAUAUAUGGAAAAAUUGACUGAUUUAGACUCUUAGGUUACUUUAUGCAUUUAAUUAGAAAUUGUUAUUACUUGUUACAUCUUUCGUUGUUGAAUUCAUUCUUAUAUGCUUAGAUUGUAGUUGUUAUUUCAUGCUCUAGCUCCCAUUGUCGAGUUUAAUCUUAUGUGUCUUAAUUGAAGUUACUAUUAUAUGUUAUAAUUUUCAUUGUCAAAUUUAUUAUGCAUAAACCGAAGUUGUUAGAACAUGUUCUAUCCACCGUUGUUGAGUUACUCUGAUAUGUAUUCAAUUGAAGUUGUUAGUAUACGUCAUGCCUUUCAUUGUUAAGUUAAUUCUUAAGAAAGUAAUGGAAGUUGGACCUUUUGAGAGUUAUUAACCUAUUUUAGUUAAAGUUGUUGUUUAUGGAGUAUCCUUCAUUGUUGAGUUAUUUUCUGUAUCAUUAUGUUGUUAUUGAGAUUUGUGUUCACAUCGUGGUUGAGCCGUGGGCUAUGUGUUGUGGUGACAUUGAUACUGCUGUUUUUGAAAGGUUGAGGCCUAUGUGUUGAUGUGAUGUUAGCACAUGCGGAUUUGUGUGUGGAUUGAUUGUUCAAUGCGAAGCAUAAUGGUGGCAUCUCACUAUUGUUAAUUAUGCGGAGUGAUAUAGGUGGCUAUUUUGUUUAUUAUCUCGGUGGAGCGAUAAGGAUGGAUAUUAUGAGGAGUGAUAUGGGUAGCUAUCGUGAUGUAUUGUCUAGGCAGAGUGAUAAGGGUGGCUAUUAUGAUAUUGUCAUUAUGGAGAGAUAAGGGGGGCUAUGUUAGGGUUGAUAUGUGUUGGCCUGGGGGCACAAUGUUGAUGAAUUUUGUGUGGUGGUAUGAUUUUCCUUGUGUGUAUUAGGUGCCUUACGUGUCUUGUUGUGUUGUUUCUAAUGAACUACUUGGUGUCUUUGAUAUUACUUGUUGGGCUGUAAUAAUACACUCGCACAAGCAUACAACCGUAGCAUGUUGUUUACACCAGUUCAGGAGCAUGGAACUUAACAUUCAUUGAUCAUGCACAUGUACUCUUGUAUUAUCUGUUUCCAUUAUGAUAUUGAUCCUAUGACCACGACUGAUUGCGAUAGUGAUCCUAUGACCAUACUUGGCGGAUUGUGAUAGUGGGCUUGUUACCAUGCCGGGUGGAUUGAGAUAAUGACAUGUGAGUUGUCCUUGUGAUCGUAAUUGAUAAUGUGGCACAAGAUGUUAUGAGCAUAUGAUUUGUGAUUUAGGACUCAUGACUUGUGUUUAUGAGAUGAGGUAUCUCGGAGUAAUCUUGUUGUAAACCUUAUGUUAGAACGGCUUGAUUAUUUGGUUGUCAUUUGUUUAUCUUAUUUGGUUUCGCUGGUACUUUAACAUGAUUCCGGUUACUUUACUAUUUUUAUCACAUGUUUAUUCCUUGUUGUCAUUUUACUGAUUCUUGCUUCCCUUAUUAGCUUUAUACUCAUAUACUGUAGAGGUUAUUAUUACUAUUAGGUGUCUUGACUUGUACCUGGUCACUACCCACCGAGAUUAAUCUUGAUACUUAUUAGGUACCAACCAUGGGGUACUCAUACUACACUUUCAUACAUUUUUGUGUAAAUCCAGGUAUUGGAGAUAACAGACUCAGGCGGAGUUAGCUUCUUGAUCGCGAGGAUUCAAGAUAGAACUACUUAGUCAUCACAAUCCCUUGGAGUCCUUUUUCUUUUGAUUGUACAAUCAAUUCGUUAUCCGAACAUUAUUGUAUUUUGACUUUGAGAUAUCUCUAUGUAUUCAUCUAGAGUUUGUGACUCUGUAUUACCUAGUAUUGGAAGGUUGUUGUGAUUAUUGUCGCGUAGGCUUGUUUCACCUUUAUUUCGAUAUUUAUAUUAAACUCUAGUUUAAAAGAUCAUGUUUAACUAGUUUAACUGUUGUAAGCAAUCGGCUUACCUAGUCUUAGAGACUAGGUGUCAUCACAAGGCAUAAGGCAGGAAUUGGGUCGUGACACAACAAUAUAAAGUGAGGGAAAGAACUAGACUAUGUGUUAGGCUGACAAUUAGUCAGGCCUAAUUUAAAUUUAAGGAGCAACAUACUUUAGCACAGCAACGCAACUGGAAGAGUACGCAGCUCAACUCAGUGGUCUUGCGCCAGAGUUCAUCAUGAACUCCAUAAGGCCCAAAUGGUUCAUGCAAAAAAAAGAUUUCAUUAGCACUUGCAUAUGAGACAUAAUACAGAAUCAUAAAAGAUGAAUAUGAACAUGAUCCAAAGGACAAAGCUAAACAAACAUUUAUUUGUUACACCCCUCUAAGGAUUAGUCAAGGCCAAGGAUCAUUGGCUAGAAUAAACCAUAUUCACCUACAAAGUCUCCUUAUGAACCCCUGGCACUUCAGAGUCACAGAGGUCUCUAAGACCCAGAGUAGUGCUUGUGCUAGUGAGGUGGUCCCUUGAUAGUGAAGUCAAGCUCAUAAUAGAAGCCAUUAACAACUUAACCUUGCUCUUGCAUAGCGAUUUGACACAUAAAUCUUGACUUAAAGUCUUUACACAAGCAACCUGACCAAGGAGGCCCAAGCAGCAACCACAAUAAAACUUCUUACAUCACAGAAGGUCCGUGCAAUGUCUUAAAUCAUAUGAGCAUGACAGGUUUAAGGACUUAAUCAAAUGAAGCACAACAAUCUCAAAAUAACUAGACUUAUUGACAUACUAUCACUAAUAUUAAACAGUUAGUUAGGUAAAAUAAAUAGAUAAUUAGGGCACUAACACAUGCUUCCAAUUCAAAGUAUCCUUAGUAAGUGAUCACUGUUGGAGUACAUGAUGCAGGAGUAUAUCAUCACGUAUAGGAUCUCAAAAGGGUUUAGGAAGUUUCAAAGGCUCGGAGUCAACUCAGAAUCAUUCUAUAUGCCAUGACACAUACAUAAUCUUCUUAGGAGUCACUGUUUCAGCCAAAUAUGAUCAAAUAGAGUCUCAGAAUAAAAGUUGUUAAUCAUUUAUCCCUAUAGGCAUGCUUACUAUGUUAAAUAUGCUUUCAAGAUUGAGACCUUAGCUAGAGUUUAUCAUGAAAUGAACAUUCCAAACAUGUAUUCCCUUAUUAGGUUUCAAUAGAGGUCUAGCGCUUCACUGAGAAUACGGUAACAACAAGCAUGACUUUUGCACUCAUCAUGAAUCAGAAUUUAUAGGAAACCAAAACACCCCCAGGACAGACACUUAAUGACCCAAACUUCAAUGCAUAUUAAGCUAUCUCGAUCAAGCAUUUCAUGAUAAAAAAAUAGCCUUACAAAGGUCAUGUUAACAGAAGCGACAACAAGAGCUAUUCAACAUGAUAGAGUAAUCUGAUUUUAAUCUCAAAUUGAACCCUAUAGGCAUGGUAUCUCUAACAUAAUAGUGCAUGGUAAAAGAGAAUAACAUUUAGUUAGAACUAUCAAUCAGCCUAUACUAACAAUGCUUAACCAACAGACUAGGCAGUGUUAACUCGUACCAAUGAAAAACUUUGAAACAUAGUCUUUACAACAACAAACAGUCAUAAGAUGGCAAGGGCACUUGUUUACAGCUAACACUAACAAAGCAGGCAUUUGAUUUCAAGUCAAUAGGUAGUUCACUAAACGAAACAUGAUCACCAUUAAGCCAUAAAGUGUAACAUGCUAAGCUAGGUAGACAAAUCUCAUAACAUGCUUCAGAUGCUAACAUGAUAAGCAAGAUUGAAACACACUCAUUAGACCAAUUAAGUAGAAUAACUACACAUGAGAAGCUAUAAAUGAGAUCUGGCCAUUGAAACGAAUUGUAAAAGUGUACUGACCUUCCGUAGGGAAACAAACCAGGGUAUUGAACUUAGUCGUUAGGAAUUAGUACUCACACUCAACUUCAAGACAAUUAAGUUUAACAAAAAACAAAAAAAAAAAGAAAUUAUAAGCAAUAGGCAGAGAUAUUUAUACUUUAGUGUAGUUGCAUUUACUACUAGUUGUUCGAUUGUCAGGUGAGGCAUUUAAGCCGGUAUUUAUAGCCAGGGAUUGGCCUUAGGGUUCUGAGUUUGAACAUUCAAAGUUGAUACAAGAUAGAGAAAAAUUAUGAACACUAAUGAAAGAUCAUAUGACGAUAUCAAGGGAAAAGGAUUGAAAAACAGACGGAAAAGAGAAUAAGGAUUACCCUAUCAGAACAGACUAGUCGUUGAAGCUUAGUGACCUCCGGACAAAGCUUUUACCCAGAGGUCCUUUCGUUUGGCCUCUGGGUCAUCAUAAUUCACCGUGAGGUUGAGAUUCCCAUGAAUCUGAAAUUGCAUGCCAUGUUUUAAUGGCAAUUUUGAACAGAGGUGGGUGUGAUGAUGAGAUUUGGGGCCUUUCACAUUAGAGGCUAGGGUUUUGGAAUUUGGGGAUUUGGAAGGGGAUGAUGGAAAUAGGCAUUUUCGGCUAGAUUCGCGGCUGGGGGGAAGGGGUAACGAUAAUGGUUUCACAGUUGUCUCUUAGACUUUGCAUCAAUUUGUGCCACGUCUCAGAGAUUGCAGAGAGGAAAGGACGACGAGAGUGAGAGAGGAAAAGGGAAAUGGGGCGGUUGGCGCAGUGAGGGAAUGACAUAUGGUUUGGGGGUUUGGUAUGUUUAAAAUGGAGGAGUGAUCUUGGGCCGUUGGAUCAAUUAGAUCAAUGGCUCAUAUUUAUUUUUAGUUUAAAGAAUAAAAAGAAAACAAU